AUAUAUAUAUAUAUAUAUAUAUACAAAUGUUAAAUAAUGUUCAUAUUUGAAAGAAAGGUCGCUGUGACAGUACUUUUGUAAAUUUUCCAGAAGUUGAAAAUAGUUGCAAGCAUGAAGCCCCGAAAUCGUUUUAUUUAACUUAACUUCUUACGUAAGUUUCUUCGUGCCUGUCGGUUGCAAGCAGAUAAUACGAACCGGAGCAGGUUUCCUUUAAUUAUACAGUGAGGUCACGCAGCCAGCUGUAACCUGACUUCUUUUCCUGAAAUCCCCUCUAAGCAACCCCCAUCAGCCUGACGGGUGUCGGCCCCCCAACCAGCUCCCAAACAACACAAACACAUAUUCUAUCCUGUAAUUGCCCACACGGGCUGACGCAGCUUAUUUACACCCUCUGUGCCUCAACUUAUGAUUACAGGCCGUUCCCCGCCCGUCUUAAAGCCUCUUUUCUGCCAUAAAGCGUCCCGGAGACAUUCCCAUCGUGUCCACCUCGCCUUCCAGGCAGGCCAGCGCUGUUGUUUAGGUCUAAGAUUUCGGGUCCAAAGGGGGUUAAGUGGCGGCUCUGCUGGCCUCCCUAAUGGACACCAGGAGAACAAAGCUCUGAGCGCCUCGAGGGCCGACGGGGAAACACAGCCGACAUCCAGGUGCUCACAAAAACACAGAGCUCUGCAGCAAACCCAUAAUCUCUGCUACCAUUAGCAUAAUACACUCAGAUCUCAGCCAGAAGGUCAGCUGGUGCAGUGCAUCCUGGGAAGGUUUUGUUAAGAAAGAGGAACGUUUUAAAUGGAGGUUUAUACGUGUCUGUCCAACACAAAUUGGGCUUCUCUUCUGAGCAGCCCACCUUUUUGGGGCAGUCUGGGGCCCCGGAAGUUGCUAAUAAUCGAUAAUAAUAAUGUUUGCAACAUUAGUAGACAUUGUAUUUGCUCGGUGAAGAAAUAAAGGCGUCUCGCCCUCUUGCCAUAGUUGUUGAAUGGUAAACAUGUGUAAUUUCUCUUUUAUGGUCCAUCCACUGAAAGCGCUUCAACACUACAUGACAUCGUUCACUCAUGAUGACGAUGACGGUGGAUCCUACCGGGCCAGCGACCCACCACUAGGGCACGUUCACACGGACUCACAUGCACUAACAUGCACGCUCACAUGCACUAACAUGCACGCUAACACACACUCACAUGCACGCUCACACGCACUCACAUGCACGCUCACACGCACUAACAUGCACGCUAACACACAAUCACCUGCACUAACAUGCACGCUAACACACACUCACAUGCACGCUCACACGCACUCACAUGCACGCUAACACACACUCACAUGCACUAACAUGCACGCUCACACGCACUCACAUGCACUAACAUGCACGCUCACAUGCACUAACAUGCACGCUAACACACACUAACAUACACGCUCACACGCACUAACAUGCACUAACAUGCACGCUCACACGCACUCACAUGCACUAACAUGCACGCUCACACGCACUCACACGCACUCACAUGCACGCUCACACGCACUCACAUGCACUCACAUGCACUAACAUGCACGCUCACACGCACUCAUAUACACGCUAACACACACUCACAUGCACUAACAUACACGCUCACACGCACUAACAUGCACUAACAUGCACGCUCACACACACUCACACGCACUAACAUGCACGCUCACACGCACUCACAUGCACUAACAUACACAACUCCUGCUGCUCUGGCGGUUUUCUGUCACGCUCACACAUGGAGCCGUCCUGCAGCCGCCUCAAUGAGCUCCAGUCAUCUUCUGAUGGAGGAGGCCUUGUUACUGGAGUAACCGCACCAGACACAGACACUAAAGCCCCCGUUUUCAUUGAAAUCCUGUCUUUAAAUGAAAUGAAACAUUUUAUGAUGCGGUGCCAGAUGAAGACUUGGGUGUUAAAAGUUUAUUGCCCUUAAAAAAGAAGAGUGAAUUAACUGUGAAUCCAAUUGUACUUUGAUUAAAGCCAUAUGGUGGAGCCAAUGUCUUCACACUGUCCUCUGCUCACUGAGACAAAUGGCCUGAUCAAGGGGACCUACCUUUCCUCCAAGGAGCCAGGAGGGAGAAGGACUUCUGCCAGCUGAUGACCAGCCCAGGCUUCUUCCUCUUCACGCUCAUCCUCCCGCAACAAUCCCCGAGGUUGAGGCCAAAGCAAGUGAAGGAAAAAGCAGCGGCUCCUGCUCACAGAUUCCGCAUCCCGUUUCUCCACAGGGUCCCCGUGGGUUCUGCUGAAAAGCCGCCCGCUGACGGGCAGCAGAGCGGGACCAUGAUCCCGGGUCUCCUCGCCUGAAGGAUCGUGGUCGCGGGGACGUGUAGCGCAGCGCGGAGAGGUCGCGGUGGGGGCGGGGCGCGGCGCGGUGGGGGCGGGGACCGCGAGGAAAGGGGAAGGAGUCACGGGGCGAGCGGUCCGCCCCGGUGCAGCAUCCCGUCUGCCUUCACAACAUUCACCUCAGCAUCUCAUUGGUGCUGAUACGCGUGGGGAAACCACGCGUGUCGCAAGCACUUUGGAUUGAGUCAUUUCUUCUUUACAAAUCUAUUUUGUGCGAUUUUCCCCGAAACAUUUAACGCUUGAGCGUAGUUUGAGAAUGUUUGACUGUCCUGGCGCUUCGGACCACACAGCGGGGUCUCCAGGGGAUGGAGCUUGUUCUGUGACAAUGGUUGUGUCGCAAUGGCAGUGGGCUUCAUGGAGCACAAAACAAAGUGGAGGAGAAACUGAUGCCACAUUACAGCGAAUUAAUUAAGCUGCACCGAUUAAUGAUGUUUGAAUACAAAAACCUUCAAAACAGUUCAAAUGUUGUGCAAAAAAUGUAAAAUAACCAAGAAUAUACACAAAUGACUGGUGUGAAACAUGUUUUCUUUUGCUCGCUAUAACAAUGAUCUAUAAAAUGUAUUUUUGAUAUUAUUUAAACACAGCUUUUAAAGGGAACAAUUUCCUCAAUUCUUUUUUUCUUAUUCUAAGCAUAAGAGCCAAAUAUCAACUGUACACUAGAAACACUGAGAAAGCGAACAUCGUGCUUCCUGCCAAAUCCCCGCUAGAAAUACAAGCUGCGCUGAGCGUUUAUCAGCCUUCUCUCUGUCUCUGUCUCUCUGUCUCUGUCUCUCUGUCUCUGUCUCUCUGUCUCCGCCAGAUGUGGGAGGCAUUGACGAACCGUAUCAUUGAUUCUUUGGAGAUUCUUGAGAGAGGAGGGGAAAGCAACGCUGUCUUUCCUUAACUCCCACAAGCCAGGAAAUAUGCAUCAGAUGAUGUAAUAAAUGUCACGCUAAUGUUAUUAUUACAAACCUGAAAAAAACGUGUGUCUGAACAUCUGUCUUCCACCAGCAGACUGUAUCGUAUUUCUACAAGUUGUUAUUUCAAUAUCAAAUUCUUUCCAUAUAUUGUUGGAAACUUUAUCACCUUGUUUUCCUUCCCCAGCUAACGAAACGGUCACGGGAUCAAGGCCUGACCCAGUGUCAUGGAACCCAAACACCAUACCCGUCUGCCUCGUGACCUCACUCCUCAGCUAACUUUAGUCAUACAGAUUAGCUUCUUCUGGAGGAAAGUAAAGCUAAGUAAAGAAAGUAAAGCUAAAGCGGGUUAACAGUUGGCCACACACUGUUCUAGUAGCAGCAGGGGGCGAUGCGCGCAGCUCCGGCACCGCGCACAUAGGAGCCAUCAGGCGCGAGCGGACUGACUACUACCCCCCAUCCCAGCUGGGCACGUGGUAAGAUGCAGUGUGUGCUUAAGACAUCAGUAUGAUAACAGCCUCUGCAUGUUAUAUCACCUCAUUUUAUUUUGUAUUGUGGCAGCAGAAUUAAGCACAUUAAAUCAAUAAAUGGGGGGAAAACAAGUGCUGAAAAAAUAAAUAGUGAAAAAUGUCUUGCUCAGCACGUUGGGGGUCAUUUGAGAUAUUGUGUUAUUAUAUACAUCAAUAACCACAUUAAAUUAAUAGUGAUACAUUAAGCUGAAUCACGUUUAGCAUAUGAGGUUUUAUUUAUAUCUGGGUUUCAGACUCAUAAUAACUAAAUAAUCGUUGAUAACACAUUUGCACAUGACUCCUUUAACAGGCCUCCGGGCCUGAGGAAUGAAGUGAACAGGUUUCAAAGACCCCUCGAAUGAAUUCAUCUAGUUCAGCUGUGAUAAAAGCUGCGCGGCUUCUAGAUGACAGAGCUUCAUGUCUCUGUGCAUCCCGUGUGCACCGGGAUGCAGACGUGGUGCCGAAUGAGGCGACGGUGAGCGCGUCACAGUAACAGGGAGGACAUACGAGCGCGUUGCGGUCACAUUAUCUCUCGAUUGCAGGCAAUGACAUCAGAAGUCGUCGUUGGUCUGGUUGUGUGAAACUCUCACAGACUGUUACUAAUGUGUUUACAGAACGAAAUGAAUUUAUUCUGCACACGGCUUGUACAGAAGCUACAAAGCAGUCCGUGAAUAUGAGAUAUGACUUGAAAGAUACUUACAUUCCCACCUCGGCAUUUUGGAGAUCGGUUAUGGCUUUUUUCUGGUUAAACGCGUCGUUUUGGGGAUUUUCAGAGUUAAUUUAGUUUGUAUGUCUUCGGCGGUUUCAGAGAAACAGCGCUUAGGGCAUCGGAGUGUUCAAUUCAAUCGCUUUCCAUACAGCAAAUAUUCCCCAACAUCACAGCCAUGUCUAACUAACUAUGAGUAGGUCCCA
Gasterosteus aculeatus aculeatus (three-spined stickleback) is the source of this 4646-nucleotide long non-coding RNA. NCBI's taxonomy places the organism in Eukaryota, Metazoa, Chordata, Actinopteri, Perciformes, Gasterosteidae. The record is from Ensembl.